ACAUGGUACCCCAUUGGUCACUAUAUUCCAGUCAAGAAAACAACCAAUUGCCCUUAGUCCCUGCCUUCAAUCCAAU
Molecule: long non-coding RNA, 76 nt
Organism: Amblyraja radiata (thorny skate)
Lineage: Eukaryota; Metazoa; Chordata; Chondrichthyes; Rajiformes; Rajidae
Exons: 3
Source: RefSeq, a predicted model, not a curated record